AGAGAAAACAGGAUGUUUCUUUAGCUGUUUGAAGAGGAUCCUUUUUACACGAUCGUGAUCAGAGGAAAUAAAUAAUAUACAUAGAGAGGAGAGAUAUUUCAGAGAGUAAAUAUAUAAUCGUCUCAAAGAUUGCAUAAAAUAACAAAAGGAAAUGUUUGAAAUUUUUUGGCGAGUAAAGUUUUCUUUUUUAAAUGUCGUUACAUAAUGACAACAUUAAACAGCUGUGUGUGAAACUUAAGUAAUUCCGUUCCACCGUAUGGAGUUGCGGCUCUCGCAUCAAAAGAACAGUAAGAAGAAAGUUAAAUGAAAUAUAUGGUUCUCAUCUGAAAAUUAUUUGCGUGAAACACGUCACGGUGAGUAAAUUGUCAGCUGGGCCAAGGAAACAUGGUCACGGAUCAGCGACAAAAGCAACAGCUAUAAUGUCGGUCAAAAGACGCUACAGACGAGAAAAUGUGUUCGAGCGAACAAAAAGAAGAGCUGCGAGAGUCACGCUUCUAUGGAGGCGGCUGCGUGUUUCGAAUAAAAGGAUUUCCAAGUUGCAAUGGCGCCAUUAGC
RNAcentral lists this unclassified non-coding RNA (555 nucleotides) under Bombus terrestris (buff-tailed bumblebee). RNAcentral's name for it is "misc RNA ENSBTSG00005023747.1". Lineage: Eukaryota; Metazoa; Arthropoda; Insecta; Hymenoptera; Apidae. The record is from RNAcentral.